CAGUUCGGAUUGUAGUCCGCAACUCGACUACAUGAAGCUGGAAUCGCUAGUAAUCGCGGAUCAGAAUGCCGCGGUGAAUACGUUCCCGGGUCUUGUACACACCGCCCGUCAAGCCAUGGAAGCCGGGAGUGCCUGAAGUGCGUGAGCGCAAGCAGCGCCCUAAGGUAAAACCGGUGACUGGGGCUAAGUCGUAACAAGGUAUC
Molecule: ribosomal RNA, 203 nt
Filed under: uncultured bacterium
Lineage: Bacteria
Description: partial 16S ribosomal RNA
Rfam family: Bacterial small subunit ribosomal RNA
Source: RNAcentral